Molecule: ribosomal RNA, 497 nt
Filed under: uncultured bacterium
Lineage: Bacteria
Description: partial 16S ribosomal RNA
Rfam family: Bacterial small subunit ribosomal RNA
Source: RNAcentral
GAUGAACGCUGGCGGCGUGCCUAAUACAUGCAAGUCGAGCGAACGGACGAGAAGCUUGCUUCUCUGAUGUUAGCGGCGGACGGGUGAGUAACACGUGGAUAACCUACCUGUAAGACUGGGAUAACUUCGGGAAACCGGAGCUAAUACCGGAUGAUAUUUUGAACCGCAUGGUUCAAAAGUGAAAGACGGUCUUGCUGUCACUUAUAGAUGGAUCCGCGCUGCAUUAGCUAGUUGGUAAGGUAACGGCUUACCAAGGCAACGAUGCAUAGCCGACCUGAGAGGGUGAUCGGCCACACUGGAACUGAGACACGGUCCAGACUCCUACGGGAGGCAGCAGUAGGGAAUCUUCCGCAAUGGGCGAAAGCCUGACGGAGCAACGCCGCGUGAGUGAUGAAGGUCUUCGGAUCGUAAAACUCUGUUAUUAGGGAAGAACAUAUGUGUAGGUAACUGUGCACAUCUUGACGGUACCUAAUCAGAAAGCCACGGCUAACUACGUG